CUUUCUCCAGUGGUGACGCAGUUCUGUUCUCCGUGUUGAAGGCAGAGUCCUGUAAAAUAUUAUAAUCCUCUGGUUGAAGAAAUCUCUUGAACUCCGGUCUCUCGGGAGGUCGACUCUGACAGAUGAAGGGGGGAGGGGGACUCUCUCGGGCUCGCUCCACCUGUCACUCACUGCACGCCAUGACAGCACGAGGAGAGGAGAAAUGUCAGAGCAUUCAGAUCCUUACAGAUAAAAAAAACAGGAGAGAGGGUGAGAAGUUAAACCCUGAAGAGACAUGAGAAUGUUUAUUCAUGACAUCAUACGUUUCUUCAAACCAUGCUCAGAGCUCUGUUGAAGAGGAUGAAGAGACAGAGACCAGACUCUCCUGGACCCAGCUGUGUGUCCAUGAAGAGUGAUUGGUGUAUAAUGUGUAUCUUGGUUCAGAGCUUCAUAAUAUAUGACACAUUGUUUUCUUGUGUCACAGAGUUCAACAGGAGAGCUCCGAGGUUCACAGAGAUCAAUCAGACCAGCAGAAUCCAA
Non-coding RNA from Labrus bergylta (ballan wrasse), 519 nucleotides. Lineage: Eukaryota; Metazoa; Chordata; Actinopteri; Labriformes; Labridae. The record is from RefSeq and is a predicted model, not a curated record.